This 492-nucleotide ribosomal RNA is filed under the name uncultured bacterium. Its description in RNAcentral is "partial 16S ribosomal RNA". It matches the Rfam family "Bacterial small subunit ribosomal RNA", at positions 30 to 507 of the family's 1533-position model. The record is from RNAcentral.
UUGCACGCUGGCGGCAUGCUUUACCCAUGCAAGUCGAACGGCAGCGAGGAGAAGCUUGCUUCUCUGUCGGCGAGUGGCGAACGGGUGAGUAUAGCAUCGGAACGUGCCAAGUAGUGGGGGAUAACCAAACGAAAGUUUGGCUAAUACCGCGUAAGCUCUAAGGAGGAAAGUAGGGGACCUAAAUAAGGCCUUACGCUAUUUGAUCGGCCGAUGUCGGAUUAGCUAGUUGGUGGGGUAAUGGCUCACCAAGGCAAUGAUCCGUAGCGGGUCUGAGAGGACGAUCCGCCACACUGGGACUGAGACACGGCCCAGACUCCUACGGGAGGCAGCAGUGGGGAAUUUUGGACAAUGGGGGAAACCCUGAUCCAGCCAUGCCGCGUGUAUGAAGAAGGCCUUAGGGUUGUAAAGUACUUUUGUUAGGGAAGAAAAGCUAGUUUUUAAUAAAAAUUAGUGAUGACGGUACCUAAAGAAUAAGCACCGGCUAACUACGUG